RNAcentral lists this small nucleolar RNA (125 nucleotides) under Balaenoptera musculus (blue whale). RNAcentral describes it as "Small nucleolar RNA SNORA40 (ENSBMSG00010005893.1)". It matches the Rfam family "Small nucleolar RNA SNORA40". From Rfam's summary of the family: The snoRNA ACA 40 belongs to the H/ACA family of snoRNAs and guides the pseudouridylation of 28S rRNA subunit at position U4565. NB This family has a high threshold value to exclude a large number of closely related sequences that do not appear to have conserved H and ACA boxes, and may be pseudogenes. The record is from Rfam by way of RNAcentral. Lineage: Eukaryota; Metazoa; Chordata; Mammalia; Artiodactyla; Balaenopteridae.
AUCAGCUGUUUGUUUUUGUUUAAUUUGUGGACAAAGACUUAUAGACAGGUGCAAAAAUAAAUCCUCUUUUGCAACCCAGAACUCAUUGUUCAGUAUGAGUUUUGAUACAGAUAAGAAGGAACAUG